UCCAUAGGUUAAUGAGGCGAACCGGGGGAACUGAAACAUCUAAGUACCCCGAGGAAAAGAAAUCAACCGAGAUUCCCCCAGUAGCGGCGAGCGAACGGGGAGCAGCCCAGAGCCUGAAUCAGUAUGUGUGUUAGUGGAAGCGUCUGGAAAGGCGCGCGAUACAGGGUGACAGCCCCGUACACAAAAAUGCACAUGCUGUGAGCUCGAUGAGUAGGGCGGGACACGUGGUAUCCUGUCUGAAUAUGGGGGGACCAUCCUCCAAGGCUAAAUACUCCUGACUGACCGAUAGUGAACCAGUACCGUGAGGGAAAGGCGAAAAGAACCCCGGCGAGGGGAGUGAAAAAGAACCUGAAACCGUGUACGUACAAGCAGUGGGAGCACGCUUAGGCGUGUGACUGCGUACCUUUUGUAUAAUGGGUCAGCGACUUAUAUUCUGUAGCAAGGUUAACCGAAUAGGGGAGCCGAAGGGAAACCGAGUCUUAACUGGGCGUUAAGUUGCAGGGUAUAGACCCGAAACCCGGUGAUCUAGCCAUGGGCAGGUUGAAGGUUGGGUAACACUAACUGGAGGACCGAACCGACUAAUGUUGAAAAAUUAGCGGAUGACUUGUGGCUGGGGGUGAAAGGCCAAUCAAACCGGGAGAUAGCUGGUUCUCCCCGAAAGCUAUUUAGGUAGCGCCUCGUGAAUUCAUCUCCGGGGGUAGAGCACUGUUUCGGCAAGGGGGUCAUCCCGACUUACCAACCCGAUGCAAACUGCGAAUACCGGAGAAUGUUAUCACGGGAGACACACGGCGGGUGCUAACGUCCGUCGUGAAGAGGGAAACAACCCAGACCGCCAGCUAAGGUCCCAAAGUCAUGGUUAAGUGGGAAACGAUGUGGGAAGGCCCAGACAGCCAGGAUGUUGGCUUAGAAGCAGCCAUCAUUUAAAGAAAGCGUAAUAGCUCACUGGUCGAGUCGGCCUGCGCGGAAGAUGUAACGGGGCUAAACCAUGCACCGAAGCUGCGGCAGCGACGCUGAUGCGUUGUUGGGUAGGGGAGCGUUCUGUAAGCCUGCGAAGGUGUGCUGUGAGGCAUGCUGGAGGUAUCAGAAGUGCGAAUGCUGACAUAAGUAACGAUAAAGCGGGUGAAAAGCCCGCUCGCCGGAAGACCAAGGGUUCCUGUCCAACGUUAAUCGGGGCAGGGUGAGUCGACCCCUAAGGCGAGGCCGAAAGGCGUAGUCGAUGGGAAACAGGUUAAUAUUCCUGUACUUGGUGUUACUGCGAAGGGGGGACGGAGAAGGCUAUGUUGGCCGGGCGACGGUUGUCCCGGUUUAAGCGUGUAGGCUGGUUUUCCAGGCAAAUCCGGAAAAUCAAGGCUGAGGCGUGAUGACGAGGCACUACGGUGCUGAAGCAACAAAUGCCCUGCUUCCAGGAAAAGCCUCUAAGCAUCAGGUAACAUCAAAUCGUACCCCAAACCGACACAGGUGGUCAGGUAGAGAAUACCAAGGCGCUUGAGAGAACUCGGGUGAAGGAACUAGGCAAAAUGGUGCCGUAACUUCGGGAGAAGGCACGCUGAUAUGUAGGUGAAGUCCCUCGCGGAUGGAGCUGAAAUCAGUCGAAGAUACCAGCUGGCUGCAACUGUUUAUUAAAAACACAGCACUGUGCAAACACGAAAGUGGACGUAUACGGUGUGACGCCUGCCCGGUGCCGGAAGGUUAAUUGAUGGGGUUAGCGCAAGCGAAGCUCUUGAUCGAAGCCCCGGUAAACGGCGGCCGUAACUAUAACGGUCCUAAGGUAGCGAAAUUCCUUGUCGGGUAAGUUCCGACCUGCACGAAUGGCGUAAUGAUGGCCAGGCUGUCUCCACCCGAGACUCAGUGAAAUUGAACUCGCUGUGAAGAUGCAGUGUACCCGCGGCAAGACGGAAAGACCCCGUGAACCUUUACUAUAGCUUGACACUGAACAUUGAGCCUUGAUGUGUAGGAUAGGUGGGAGGCUUUGAAGUGUGGACGCCAGUCUGCAUGGAGCCGACCUUGAAAUACCACCCUUUAAUGUUUGAUGUUCUAACGUUGACCCGUAAUCCGGGUUGCGGACAGUGUCUGGUGGGUAGUUUGACUGGGGCGGUCUCCUCCUAAAGAGUAACGGAGGAGCACGAAGGUUGGCUAAUCCUGGUCGGACAUCAGGAGGUUAGUGCAAUGGCAUAAGCCAGCUUGACUGCGAGCGUGACGGCGCGAGCAGGUGCGAAAGCAGGUCAUAGUGAUCCGGUGGUUCUGAAUGGAAGGGCCAUCGCUCAACGGAUAAAAGGUACUCCGGGGAUAACAGGCUGAUACCGCCCAAGAGUUCAUAUCGACGGCGGUGUUUGGCACCUCGAUGUCGGCUCAUCACAUCCUGGGGCUGAAGUAGGUCCCAAGGGUAUGGCUGUUCGCCAUUUAAAGUGGUACGCGAGCUGGGUUUAGAACGUCGUGAGACAGUUCGGUCCCUAUCUGCCGUGGGCGCUGGAGAACUGAGGGGGGCUGCUCCUAGUACGAGAGGACCGGAGUGGACGCAUCACUGGUGUUCGGGUUGUCAUGCCAAUGGCACUGCCCGGUAGCUAAAUGCGGAAGAGAUAAGUGCUGAAAGCAUCUAAGCACGAAACUUGCCCCGAGAUGAGUUCUCCCUGACUCCUUGAGAGUCCUGAAGGAACGUUGAAGACGACGACGUUGAUAGGCCGGGUGUGUAAGCGCAGCGAUGCGUUGAGCUAACCGGUACUAAUGAACCGUGAGGCUUAACCUUACAACGCCGAAG
This 2755-nucleotide ribosomal RNA is filed under the name Escherichia coli. Its description in RNAcentral is "partial 23S ribosomal RNA". It matches the Rfam family "Bacterial large subunit ribosomal RNA". The record is from RNAcentral. Lineage: Bacteria; Pseudomonadati; Pseudomonadota; Gammaproteobacteria; Enterobacterales; Enterobacteriaceae.